CCGAGUGCGGGCCCCUCGGGGCCCAACCUCCCACCCGUGUUGCCCGAACCUAUGUUGCCUCGGCGGGCCCCGCGCCCGCCGACGGCCCCCCUGAACGCUGUCUGAAGUUGCAGUCUGAGACCUAUAACGAAAUUAGUUAAAACUUUCAACAACGGAUCUCUUGGUUCCGGCAUCGAUGAAGAACGCAGCGAAAUGCGAUAACUAAUGUGAAUUGCAGAAUUCAGUGAAUCAUCGAGUCUUUGAACGCACAUUGCGCCCUCUGGUAUUCCGGAGGGCAUGCCUGUCCGAGCGUCAUUGCUGCCCUCAAGCCCGGCUUGUGUGUUGGGCCCCGUCCCCCCCGCCGGGGGGACGGGCCCGAAAGGCAGCGGCGGCACCGCGUCCGGUCCUCGAGCGUAUGGGGCUUCGUCACCCGCUCUAGUAGGCCCGGCCGGCGCCAGCCGACCCCCAACCUUUAAUUAUCUCAGGUUGACCUCGGAUCAGGUAGGGAUA
Molecule: ribosomal RNA, 489 nt
Filed under: fungal sp. LP5_4255
Lineage: Eukaryota; Fungi
Description: eukaryotic LSU rRNA
Rfam family: 5.8S ribosomal RNA (bases 141-294)
Source: RNAcentral